Seriola aureovittata is the source of this 3381-nucleotide long non-coding RNA. RefSeq lists it as uncharacterized. The transcript has 3 exons. NCBI's taxonomy places the organism in Eukaryota, Metazoa, Chordata, Actinopteri, Carangiformes, Carangidae. The record is from RefSeq and is a predicted model, not a curated record.
UGCUCUAUGCUAAAAAGACAGGAUUCAGAUGCUGUGGCCACCUGUACUACAACACCUCUCUGUGGUCGUGUUGUGCAGGGGAGCUAAGUCCAGUGCACCAGCCAGGACAGCGUUGGGCCGGGAGGAUCACAGAAUUUAUAUUUCCAUCAGUGAACAAUCUGAACAAAACAUAUCUUUGUGGAGAAAUGAAAAUCGGGAUUUUGGAAAGCGUGUCUCUGCACAGCAUCGUGUUCAGUAAUGUGCUGAAAAUCCAUGGGACAAAUGCCACAGUGAAAGCUCUGCCAUCGCCUUACAUUCUGAAAAGACCUGCUAGCUGCAACUCCCCUAAACUGAUCCCUGGCAAAACCUACAUCUUUGAUGAAGUUAAUGUCUUCACUGAUUUCAACCAUGACUCUUCUCUUCAGUCACUCCAUUUCAUUAUUUCCAAAUGUCGUCAUGCUUAGGUCACCACUUGCUCAUCUGUUCCUAUGUUGGAUAACUUGAAAAAUGCUAUCAGUUACUCAAGCUAUUUCAGUUACUCAAGCUAUUUCAGUUACUCAAGCUAUUUCAGUUACUCAAGCUACAUCAGUUACUCGCUGAAAAAAUAAUUACAUUACUAUAAUUCAUUAACAGCAGUUUUAAUUUAUUUAUCACAUUACUUUCUAUUACUCAGUGUAGCUCCCUAAAAUGUGCCUUUCAACAACUCCAUAAUCCUCCACGCCUAUGUCACAUCUUCUGUGAUAUGUGACAAUGGCUUCACAUGCAGCCAGUGUACAGUUGAGAGGUAUUCACUAAUCCUUAACAGCUGGCAGCUCCAGGCCGCAUUCAGGAUGUAGCACUGGAAAUAUUUGUUUCUACAUCUACGCCCACUUAUUGUUCCGCUGUGAGUGGGUGAAACAGACACCAGUUAUACUUUCCACCUCUCUUUUUUCAUUUUUCACAGAACUAUUUCUGUCAUUUUUAAUGUGAACAUACAGGUGCAACAUAAUGACUGUCUUCCUGGAGAGACUGUCUGAAAUUAUAAACCAGACUUUUUCAGUUGGCCUUUGAGCAUGGCUGUUCGGAACAACUCUAAACACAUGAUUUCCGCUGUGGUUGGACAGCACUACUUCUGAGAGACCAUCAACCUGCCCUUACUUAACAUUCUUGGAUCUGCUCAGGGAUAAACAUCAAAUAAGCCAACUCCCUGAAAUGACCGAGUACAGCAGCAUUACUCUGAUUAUUAACUACAAUGUUGUACUGAGUUACACGGUACAAUCACUCACACUACGUUUUACUGAAUACAGUAAUCAGUACAGUUACAGUGGCCAAAAUAGUGCAUGGUACUCAUCUCUACAGUGUGAAGUAGUACUAUGAUUAUUACUAUCAAAAGAUAGGCAACAGCUAGAGCAGUAAAAGCUGAGUGCAAAAUUUGCAUCCCCCUUAGACCCUGGGUGAAAUAUCAAAAAAUCUAUCUAUAUAGUACAGUUGAGCUUCAAAAUAGCGUUCCAUAAUUAUCUAAAUAUGUUUCCCACUAAAGACUAAAGAUUGUGAAAAUAGCUGAAUCCAAGUCCAAAUGUAUCUUAAAUACCAAGCUCAAAAGUUUACAUCCCCUUUCAUGAAUGCUCUAGGUAAUUAAUUUUAAUAUUUAAAAUCAGGUGUCUGGUCUUUAAAAUACAUUGUCACCACUUAAUGCUUGAUGAGUGGCAACGAGUGUGUUCAAUUAGGUUUGCGUUUUAUAUUUGCAAGUUGGUAUAAAUGUCCAACAUGUUAAUGCAGUUUGCUGAGUGCAACAACAACAAUGGGAGCAGGGGAACAGCUUUCAGAAGACCUCAAAAUUAAACUGGUAAACUUUCAUAACCUGGAGAGGGAUAUAAAUAUAUUUGAAAGCGUUUUGGGAUACCACUACCAACUGUGAAGACCAUAAUCCAGAAAUAGGACAAGAAACAUGGACACUAAGACUAAGACUCUACUAUGGAGUGCAAGAAAAAGCUGCUAGAAAACUUGCUCUACAGCUAUGUAAGAAUCAGAAAACAAACAGCAGGUGACCAGAAAAAAUCCUUAAAGGCAAAUUGAAUAUAAGUUUACAUCUCCACAGUCAAGCGCAGCCUGCACAAGUCUAAAAUGUUUGAGACAAAAGCAGGCAAGAAGCCAUUGCUUACUUCUAGACACAAGGCAGCAUCCUCAAAGGAUGCCAAAGAGCAUGUGAACAAGCCAAAUGAGUUUUGGUACAUUAUGUGGUCUGAUGAGAUCAAAGUUGAACUAUUUGUUCAUAAUUCAAAUGGGUAUGUAUGAAAAAACUCCUAUGAGAAGAGGAACACCAUUCCCAGUCAAACAUGGGGGAGGCUUGCUGAUGUUUUGGGGGUGUCUGUCUGCAUCGGGCACUGGAGCUUUGCAUAAAGUGGAAGGAAGAAUGAUUGCAGGCCAAUAGAUUUUAAAGCAAAGCCCCCUACAACAAGUCUAGAAGCUGAAAAUGAAGAGACAGGACAAAACAAUGACCCAAAUUACAGAUCAAAGUCAAUUCAGGAAUGGUUUAAAAAGAAUAAGGUGAGAGUUUUGCCAUGGCCUUCCCAGUGUCCAGACUUGAAUAUAGUCUAUCCUGUGGAUAGAUUUGAGAAAGGUCGUACAGGAGAAGCAACCAAGCAAUUUUCUAGACUUGGAACAAAUAUACCACGAAGACUAGUCUAAACUUACACCUGAGAGGAUGCAGAAGCUGCUCAGAGGGUAUCCAGGGAGGAUGGAGGAGGUUAUAAAGGCAAAGGGAGGAUUUUCAAAGUAUUGUAAAGUAUUAAUGACAAAAUUUCAUAAAAGGGGUGCAAACUUUUGGACUGAUAUAAUUUUUAUUAUUUCACUAAAAUAUUCUUUUUAUGCACUCUUUGAACAUUUUUGUUACUUUUGAGGAUGAAGGAACAUUUCUGCCAAUUGAACAUGUGUCAGAUAUUGUGUUGAUGAAAACAAAUAUCUUUGUUUUACUCUUUUUGUCAUUUAACAUUAAGGGGAUGCACUCAACCAACUGUAGCUGUAAUGUUAGCAGGGACCAUAAAGUCUGACCUAAACAGCUAUUAGCUAAUAUUUCAUUUUUUUAUAUUAUGUGAUGAUGAUGAUCAUUACUGGUUUUAUGUUACUUUGAUUUUUGCACUGAACUACAUACUAACUGGCAACUGUUUGCACAUGUCCUUGACUCAGUUGUAUGUUUACAUGUAAAUGAUGUGAUGAUUUAUCCUGUCACGAUUGAUGAAUUUAGAAAUUAAGAAUAAGCAUUUCAUCAAACCUCUGUCAUCCAAAGAUUCCACUGUGGUGCCUUGAAUGUUUCUCCAUAAAUAACAAUUUUUGUUGAAUUCAGAAUGCAGUCAUUUUUUAUGUGAAUGUGAUUCACAUGGGCACUGAGCAUGUCCUUUAAUUAAUAAAGCAGUCAUAGUGUUA